This is a non-coding RNA of Misgurnus anguillicaudatus (oriental weatherfish), 1492 nucleotides long. The record is from RefSeq and is a predicted model, not a curated record. NCBI's taxonomy places the organism in Eukaryota, Metazoa, Chordata, Actinopteri, Cypriniformes, Cobitidae.
UAUUUUACAGUAAUUUUGAAGAUUUAUGCUGCGUUUCAGGCAACCUGUAACCCGUAAAUCACGACUUCAAAACGAGUUCACGGGUGUGAGUCACGAGUUUGACUGCCGUUCCAGUGCACUUUCACAGGUAGAAGGCUGUAAAAACACAGGUUACAGGCUGCCUGGUACGCAUACUCCCAGUUCAGAGUCGUGGUUUUGAAGUCAUAAUUCACGUGCUCAAAAACCAUUUUUUAUAUUGGACAAAACUGUUUUGGUGUUUUUCACUGCAACAACUAAGUGACUCUACGCGACCCACAGUUUGAACUACCCUGAACGGAUAAGUUACAAGCCUCUUUAACUGUCUAUGGGGUUACCAAAGCACAUUCUAUUAAUAGCUUAAAUUUUAACAUGUAUUUUAUUUAUUACAAUUUUAUAUGCUUCCUUUAUGUAUGUUAACAUUUUAAACAAUGACAAAUCAUAUCAAAAAUAAAAUAAACAAGUAAAACAAAAUGUUAUGGGUAGACUUUACCAAAACUUUAAAAAUCAUUAACAUAACGUUGUCAUCAUUUUCAAAGAUAUUUUUUUUCAGCUGAUGAACAAUAAAACAUUGACAGGCAAAUUAAAACGAGAAAAAACAAAAUCCAAAUUAAAAGAGGCACAUUCAAAAUUUGAAAAAUAAGCGCGCGAGCUCAGAAUAAACAUUACGUUAAGUCCGUUAGUGUUGACAGUGGCUGAAAAGUUAUGUUGAUUUUACAUCGGUAUGAAGAAGAAACAGUCCUUUUGUUUUGUUCACAGCAUUGGUCUUCUCCUGACCUUUGACUUGAGGUUGAGCAGCUCCACCGGUACCAUUAGAACAUGCUUUUUCGCCAGGUGCUUCCUGCAGUUUUGGAGCUUCUAGCUGAACUUCAUCCGUUUCACUCUGACUCUCCGUCUCCAGCAUCUCUACAGUUUUUUCCAUCCAACAAAAGGUUGGAUAACUUUUCGUCCCCGCCUUUGGUCUUCGCCGGCAUCCGUUAUCCUUCAGCUCAGAUUGAGAGAUGAACUGCACAUCAUCAUCUUCAACACACCCGCUGUCUUCAUACUCAAUGUCCAUUAGGAUGUCAGUGAGUUGUGGAGUGAGGUCAGACUGGGAUGAAGUAGUUGACAGUGUUAUCACCUCAGUAUAUUCAACAUCUGAGCUAAGCAGAGCACAUCCAACUGGCAGUGGAUUUGACUCUAAAGAAUGAAAGGACAAAAAAAGAGUUAAGAUGCUGAAGCAAAGUAAGCAACAUCUAACACCAGCAGCUCAGACACUGAAGAAUAAAAGCAUUUGACCUCCUCAUGUGCUGGAGCUGAUGUACGUGGAGCAACUGGUGUUGGCAAAGAAGAUGGAGACAGUCUGAAUAUUUCAAGCUCAAAAGACAACACAGUUUUAUCUUGGUAUACCUUGCUAGGAUUUCUCUUACCUGUUUGCUUUCUUUUGAUGAAAGUUUUCAACUUUUUCUCUCCACUCAAUAAAACGUGUUGGUCUGAA